This 468-nucleotide ribosomal RNA is filed under the name uncultured bacterium. Its description in RNAcentral is "partial 16S ribosomal RNA". It matches the Rfam family "Bacterial small subunit ribosomal RNA", at positions 28 to 507 of the family's 1533-position model. The record is from RNAcentral.
GACGAACGCUGGCGGCGUGCUUAACACAUGCAAGUCGAACGGAAAGGCCCUGCUUUUGUGGGGUGCUCGAGUGGCGAACGGGUGAGUAACACGUGAGUAACCUGCCCUUGACUUUGGGAUAACUUCAGGAAACUGGGGCUAAUACCGGAUAGCAGCUCCUGCUGCAUGGUGGGGGUUGGAAAGUUUCGGCGGGUGGGGAUGGACUCGCGGCUUAUCAGCUUGCUGGUGGGGUAGUUGCUUACCAAGGCUUUGGCGGGUAGCCGGCCUGAGAGGGUGACCGGGGACAAUGGGACUGAGAGACGGCCCAGACUCCAACAGGAGGCAGCGGUGGGGAAUAUUGCACAAUGGGCGGAAGCCUGAUGCAGCAACGCCCCGUGCGGGAUGACGGCCUUCGGGUUGUAAACCGCUUUCGCCUGUGACGAAGCGUGAGUGACGGUAAUGGAUAAAGAAGCACCGGCUAACUACGUG